Molecule: ribosomal RNA, 267 nt
Filed under: uncultured archaeon
Lineage: Archaea
Description: partial 16S ribosomal RNA
Rfam family: Archaeal small subunit ribosomal RNA
Source: RNAcentral
AGUCACUGACAUUAGAUACCCGCGUAGUCCCAGCCGUAAACUAUGCGCGUUAGGUGUAUCGGUGACCACGAGUUACCGAGGUGCCGAAGGGAAACCGUGAAACGUGCCGCCUGGGAAGUACGGUCGCAAGGCUGAAACUUAAAGGAAAUUGGCGGGGGAGCACCGCAACGGGAGGAGCGUGCGGUUUAAUUGGAUUCAACACCGUAAAACUCACCAGGGAAGACUGUUACAUGAAGGCCGAGAUGAAGACUCUGCUAGAUUUUUCAG